RNAcentral lists this long non-coding RNA (6212 nucleotides) under Olea europaea (common olive). RNAcentral describes it as "long non-coding RNA (OEUR_LNC000782)". Lineage: Eukaryota; Viridiplantae; Streptophyta; Magnoliopsida; Lamiales; Oleaceae. The record is from RNAcentral.
CAGAUACUACCAAGCCCUUGCCCAAUAACGCAUUGUGAUGGACUCUUGACCCGACCCAAAACCCUUUGAUACAAGUGUGUUGCUUUGGUCCGUUUGAUCUCCUAAACCUAACAUCUACGAUAAUGACUUAUUAAUAUAAAAAUAAGGUCUGAGAUUUUUUGGCCCUAAUGUUUAGUUACAUUCUUGCGCCUCUUCAUGAGUCUUCUAGGUUUCUUCUCUUCGAGACCUUGUGUCUCUGCCUCUUCUCUUUCUUGGUGCAACUCUCCCUUUAAUCAGUAAACCCUUGGUUUUCUGAUGGUUCUGUGUGUGUAUAAUCUUGGUGAUUCUUCGGUUUUGAGUUGUGAGGAGUUUUCUGUUGGUUUCUUGGAGAUUCUUUCGGACCAUUGAAGCAACCAUUUCUGUGUCGAAUUCUAGGGGUUGUGGUUUGUGAGUUAAUCCUUUGUAUAGAUGGGUACAAGGUGGAUCUGGGCCCAAAAUCUAUGAGAUAUUGAUGCUAUGGUCUUGUGUCUGUAAUCUAUACUUGGUGUCGAUUUUGGGUUCACUAUUAUAACGGUGGUAUCAGAGCCUUAAGAGGCUGGUCGAGUCUCCAUCUUCGACUCCUCAACGUGGAAAAUUAAUUUUCACGUCCGGAUUUUGAGAGAUCCGACAAACGAUCGAAACCCUAGAUCUGUUCUGCGAUGGAUCUUGACUUAGUUUAUGGUUCUUUACAUUUUUCUUAGUAAACUGAUGUGUUGUUGGUGAUUUUGCAAGAAUAAGUGGAUUUCGAAAUUUUCUUGGUGAAUUGGCUUGAAAAUAAUUGGGCCUUCUGCAUGAUACUUCAUCUGUCGGUCGAAAUCUUUAACUCUCUUAAGUCUUUUAAUUGUGAUACAUGAUUUACUGCUGAGUGUCGUGAAAUUGUGUAUAUUCUAGUGUUGAAGGUGUUCUGAAAUUUGGAAUAUAGCAUAUAUACUCUUUAUUCAAAGUGUUCUACACGUGUUUAAACUUUGUGAAUAAUUCCUGAUUUUGGUAUACUGUUUAUUGAUUAAUCAUUGAUCCUGUAGUCCGCCUAUUGUUCAAUCUUUGUGAUUGUUAAUUGAUACUUUAUCUUUAAUAUUGUACACUUUGCACUGCACUAUUGUGGACUUGGGUUGAGCCUUGACCUGAGAUCUUUGAGCCUCACGGAAUCCUGGUGAACUCAGGACACAUCACUGCAUUCUGAAGUGGUUUAUUAUUAUUCUCUGAUUGGUUACUAUUUGUUAUUAUUUACUGUGUUAUAUUCUUUUGAGAUUUCAUAUAGUGCGUGAUACUUUGUGUUGUCAUAUAUUCUGUGAAAUAUCUUCUUGUGCUUCUGGCUGAACUUUAACUUUCAAAAAUUUCUUGUGUUGGUUAAAAACGUCAGAUGACAACAACAACGUUUGAACUUGGGAUUUUUAAUAGAAAAGAGGAUUUCCCCAUUUGGCAGCAAAAAAUGAAGGGGGUUCUUGUUCAACAGAAAGUGUCUAAAGCUAUAACUGGUGAAUAUCCUGAUAGUAUGAUCGAUGAACAAAAAUCUGAAUAUGAUGAACUUGCCUAUACUUCCAUUAUUCUUCACUUGUCUGAUCCAGUAUUAAGAAAUGUUGGAAAAUUGGAUAAUACGAAAGCCUUAUGGGAUAAACUUGUGGAACUUUAUUUGGUAAAAUCAUUACCUAAUAAAUUAUUUCUGUUGGAGAAAUUUUUCAGUUUCAAAAUUGAUAUGUCUCGAGACUUAAAUGAUAAUCUUGAUACUUUUAAUAAGCUGGUGCAAGAUAUAACUAAUGCCGAAGACUAAGUAUUUGAAGAAUAUAAGGCUAUAAUUUUGUUAAAUUUCAUACCUGAUGUGUAUAGAGAUGUUAAGACAGCUAUUAAGUAUGGCAGAGAGUUUUUAACACUUGAGAUAGUGAUUAAAUCCUUAAGAAGUAAAGAUUUGGAAGUUAAAUCUAAGAGACAUGGCAAGGAAAGUGAGAACCUAUUUAUGAGAGGUAGAUCACUGACCAAACAUAGUAAUAAUCAGGUUAACCAAAAUAAUUAGUGGAAUAAUACUUCUAAGAAGAAGGGGAAGGGUAUACAAAGGUCAAAAUCUAGAAAUAGAGCUAGAAAAUGUUAUGGUUGUGGUAAAAUUGGUCACCACAUUAAGGACUGUUUUAAAAAGAAAAAUGAGCAAAGAGAGGUUAAAAUUGAUGAAGAGAACAUAGUUGAGCCUCUAGGUGAGGGUACUGUUGAUGUCUAUAAUGUAACUAAAUCCACAUCUAAUUUGAACUCUGCAAAUUAUGCAGAUAAUUCAAAUCAGAGUGUAGAAUGGAUCUUAGAUUCAGGUUGUAUCUUUCAUAUAACCUCUAAAAGGCAUUGGUUGCUUGAUUUUAAGGACUUAGACGGUGGUGAGGUAGUUAUGGGUAAUAAUGCAACCUGUAAAGUGUUGGGAAUAGACAGUGUGACUUUAAAAUUCGAAAAUGGGUAUACAUUUACCUUAGAAAUGAUGAGGCAUGUACCAUAUUUAAAUAGAAAUCUGAUUUCAGUUGGGAACUUAGAUGAUAUAGGUCUCCAAGAAAAAUUUGGAGAUGGUUUCUUGAAAAUAGUUAAGGAAUCUUUAGUUAUUUUCAAGGGUAUUAAAAGAAAUGGGAUCUAUGUCACUAAGGCAAAUGUGUUUAGUCAUACUGCAGAAUCCUCUAUGGCUGAGAAUGACGCUACUUUGAAAUGGCAUAAUAGGUUAGCCUAUGUGAGUAAGAAAGGCUUACACAUCUUAAGUCAAAAAGGUGCCUUUGAUAGUGACGUGAUUUCAAAAAUUCUCUUUUGUGAAUAUUGUACCUUAGGCAAACAGCAUAGACUACACUUUAGUACAAGGAAACAUAGGACAACAUCUAUCUUAGAGUAUAUACAUUCUGAUUUGUGGGUUCCAUCAUCCACCACCUCUCAAGGUGGGAAUAGGUACUUUUUAUCCUUAAUUGAUGAUUUUUCAAGAAAAGUACGGGUAUUUCUUUUGAAACAAAAAUUAGAUACUUUUGAAAAAUUUAAAACUUGGAAAACUUUGAUUGAAAAUCAAAUGGAUAAAAGGAUUAAAAUUUUAAGAACAGAGAAUGUAUUAGAAUUUUGUAAUGCUGAUUUUGAAAAACUGUGUAAGAAUGAUGGCAUUUUAAGACAUAAAAUAAUACCAUAUACUCUACAACAGAAUGGUAUAGUUGAGAGGAUGAAUAGGACAAUACUAGAUAAGGUUAGGUGUAUGAUGUUCAGUUCAAGUGUCCCUAAAGUGUUGUGGGAGAGGCUGUUAUGACAACAGUUUACGUCAUAAAUAGGACCCCAACUAGUGCAUUAGAUGAUAAAACACCUGAGGAAGUGUGGACAGGUAGGUUGAUUGACUAUACACACUUAAAAACCUUUGGUUAUGCAGCAUAUUCACACCAAAGUGUAGGAAAACUUGAGCCUAGGUCCCAAAAAUGUGUUUUCAUUGGAUAUCCUGAAGGAGUGAAAGGGUACAGCUUUGGGUGAGAAAAAUUGGGGGUUUUAAGAUGAUAACCAGUAGGAAUGUGGCCUUCGAUGAAAAUGAGAUGCCUUGCUUAAGUAAAGAGGCCUCCAGAGAGGUGUCAAAGGGUUAGGAAGAAGAAAAUAUUAGGCUGCAGGUGGAACUUGAACAUUCGCUUAAUCAUGUUGUUAAAAAUCAAGAUGAAAAUGAAAUUGUGGAAGAAUCAGGAAAUGAAACUGUUUAAGUGCCUACUGGUGAAUUAGUGAACCCUUUAAGUGAUUAUCAGUUAGCUAGAGAUAGGGUUAUAAGAGAAAUAAGAGAGCCUAUUAGGAUGCAAGACUAUAUGUCUCUCGCUAUGUUGUCUUAUCAAGAAUUAACCUUUAAGGAGCCUAAAUCCAUGAAGAAGUCAUUAGUUGUCAGUUUUCUAAGGAAUGACAGCUUGCUAUGGAGGAAGAAAUGAGGUCUUUAGUGAAAAAUAAGACCUGGAACUUAGUGCUUAAACCUGAAAAUAAAUCUUUAGUUGACUGUAAGUGGGUUUAUGCGAUAAAAAAAGGCAAUCCCCUUAAUCAGCCUCUUAGACUUAAAGCCAUAUUAGUAGCUAAGGGGUUUACCCAAAAACCUGGCAUAGAUUACAAUGAAAUAUUUUCUCCCGUUGUAAUAAAUACUACCAUUAGAGUCAUACUUGCAUUAGUUGCACAAUAUGAUUAUGAAUUAGAGCAAAUGGAUGUUAAAACUGCGUUCUUGCAUGGUGACCUUGAUGAAACCAUAUAUAUGAGACAGCCACAAGGUUUUAGUGAUAACAAAAAAUGUGAUCAUGUAUGCUUGUUAAAAAGAUCUCUUUAUGGCCUAAAACAAUCUCCUAGAUAAUGGUACACACGUUUUGAUAACUUUGUGUCUUUAGUUGGCUGUGAGAAGUUCCUUUGCCAAUUUUUUGUAUUUUAAAAAGGAUAACAACAACUAUUUGAUGUUUAUUUGCUGUUAUAUGUGAAUGAUAUGUUGUUAAUUGGCCAGAAAAUGAAUGAUAUAAAUGAGAUUAAAAAGGUUCUAACUGCUGAAUUUGAAAUGAAGGAUCUAGGACAUGCUAAAAGGAUUUUAGGGAUGGAUAUUAAGAGGAAUAAGUCACAACAGUUAUUAUUUUUGUCACAAACUGAUUAUGUGAAAAAUGUCCUAUCCAAAUUUGCUAUGCAUGAUUCUAGAUCUGUGACAUUACCCCUUGCAUGUCAUAUUAAGUUGAGUAAAGAUCAGUGCCCACAUGAUGAAUCUGACAUUAAAUAUAUGAAAAAAGUACCAUAUUCAAAUGUUGUUGGAUCUGUAAUGUACACCAUGGUUUGCAUACGACCCGAUGUUGCACAUGCUAUAAAUACCUUAAGUAGAUUUAUGUCCAACCUUGACCCCGAACAUUGAAGUGUAAUGAAAUGGUUAUUAAGGUACUUGAAAGGUUCAGUAGACUUAGGCUUACGUUUUAGACCUAAUAAGGAGGGAGUUAGAUUAAAGGGAUAUGUAGAUUCUGAUUAUGCUAGUGAUAGAGAUAACAGGAAGUCAACUACAGCAUAUAUGUUUACUUUAAGUGAUACUUGUAUUAGUUGGAAGUCCCAAUUGCAAUUUAUUGUAGCCUUAUCAACUACAAAGGCUAAAUAUGUGGCUGCAACUGAGGCCAUUAAAGAGGUCUUAUGGCUGAAAGGUUUCCUGAAUGAGGUAAAUGAAUCUGUUGAUCCUGUUGUUCCAUAUUCGGACAGUCAAAGCGCCAUACAUUUAUGUAAAAAUUCAAUUUUUCAUGAAAGAACUAAACGUAUAGAUGUAAGAAUGCAUUUUAUAAGAGAUAUUGUACAAAAGGAAUCUAUUUUGCUUGAGAAAACCCCUACUCAGUUUAAUCCCACUGAUAUGGGUACUAAGGUACUUCCUCUAAAUAAGUUUAAGUCAUGUUUGCAACUUUUAAGAAUUGAUAUUGGGUAAAUUUUUUGUGUUGGUGCAGGUGUAUAUGGCUUGGUGCUAAUGAUCUGAAAUGAAUUAUAUCAAUUGCUUGAGAAGUCUAUUGUUAUAUUUUCUUUGUUUUGUGUUUUUUGAUCAUUGACAUCAAGGGGGAGAUUUAUUGGGCUGUGAUGCCAAAUUAUUUUUUGGUGGACCAGCCCAUUUGGGCUAUGAUGAUAAAAAUAAAUGACCCAACAGAUACUACCAAACCCUUGCCUAAUAACGCAUUGUGAUGGACUCUUGACCCGGCCCAAAAUCCUUUGAUACAAGUGUGUUGCUCUAGUCCGUUUGAUCUCCUAAACCUAACAUCUACGGUGAUGACUUAUUAAUAUAAAUAUAAGGUUUGAGAUUUUUUUGCCCUAAUUUUUAGUCACAUUCUUGCACCUCUUCGUGAGUCUUCUGUAGAAUCUUUUGGGUUUCUUCUCUUCGAGACUUUGUGUCUCUGCCUCUUCUCUUUCUUGGUGAAACUCUCCAUUUAAUCAAUAAACCCUUGGUUUUCUGAUGGUUCCGUGUGCGUAGAAUCUUGGUGAUUCUUCGGUUUUGAGUUGUGAAGAGUUUUCUGUUGGCUUCUUGGAGAGUCUUUCGGACCAUUGAAGCAACCAUUUCUGCGUCGGGUUUUAGGGGCUGUAGUUUGUGAGUUAAUCCUUUGUACAGAUGGGUACAAGGUGGAUCUGAGCCCAAAAUCUAUGAGAUCUUGAUGCUAUGAUCUUGUGUCUAUAAUCUGUACUUGGUGUCGAUUUUGGGUUCACUAUUAUAACAGAAUUUAAUGAGACUCAACUUGAAAUUGCCUGUA